GAAGCUGCUUUUCUAUUUCCCUCCAAAUUCUGAUACUGAAUUAAACAGGUACUUUUCUUUGGAUAUUAACAACACAAUAUAAACUGUCUCUUACACUUCGUUUGGGAGGAGUGUAAGGAAGUAAGGUAAGGUUUUUUUACAGUAAUGUAAGAUAAAGUAAUGAAAUAUAAGAUAAGGUUUUUUUAAUAUUAUGUUUUUUUUGGGAGGAAAGUAAGGUAAAUGAUAGUUUACUAAUGUUAUGUUGUUUGGAUCAAAGGUUUGAGAAAGUAAGGAACGGUAAUAACUAAUAUUAAUUUAUAAAAACUUUCCAAAC
This 313-nucleotide unclassified non-coding RNA is filed under the name Hevea brasiliensis (rubber tree). The record is from RNAcentral. Lineage: Eukaryota; Viridiplantae; Streptophyta; Magnoliopsida; Malpighiales; Euphorbiaceae.